AAUUUGCUGUAUUAUUAUUAUUAUUUUUUUUUUUAGAGAUAAGUAGCACGCUACCCGCUUCAUUUAUUUCAUUUAGAAAUAAACUUAGCUGGAAAUAUGAAUCAGCUAGGAUUCGAACUUGGGUCUCGGGUAUCAACCACGAAGCCCUUUGUCACUUGCUCUAGGAACGGUCGGUACAACUCUCAAUUAUUACACUUGCAUUGAUGAUAGAUGGAUGUACGGCAAUAUUUAAUAUUAUUUUGACUAAAAUGCUUGAAUAGCACAUCUAGUCUUUCCGAAUAUUUCCACUUGGUUUCUAAACUUAAUUUUUAACGUCUAAACUUUCACGUGUAAUACACUUUUAGUUUAUAAUUGUGAAAAGUUCUAUGUCUUUUUUAAAAAUUAUCAAAAUGGUAAUUUUGAAUAUAUUCAAGUUAAUCCCAAGAUUACUUUUAGCCUUUGUUUGGUUGGGGGUUAAUAGGUGGAAUAACAUUUUAACUCCCAUAUUAUCCUCAAACACUUUCAAAAUUAGCUAACUUCAUCUCAAAUGGGCUAUUCCGGAUUAGCUAACCCCACAUAACCCUACCAAACCCCAACCAAACACUAUUUUCUAUUCAUAAUAACCCACUAUCCUUCUUAUCCUACCUACUCCAACCAAACAUUAUUUUUCACUAUCUUGGACUAACUCCAAUCCCCAACCAAACACAAAAAUACUCUAACCCCACCUUAACUCUGAACUUAACCCUAUCCCUGAAAUAACUAGUUUUUCCUUAACCCUGAAUCAAACGGUAGCUUAGGGCUUGUUUGGUUCAUCCAUUUUUGGUAUGGAAUGGGAAUCAAUUUUCCGGACUGGAAUGGGAAUGGCCCAUUAGCCUUUAAAUUGAUUCCGGUCUUCUAGUCCGGAUUAAGAUUUCAUUCCGGAAGCCCACUAAGUUCUCGAAGCCCAUGUGACCAUCUCACCCUCCUUCUCUUCACCCCUUUCUCAUCAAAAAAAANUUUUAAAAAUAAAUAUGAUAUUUUUUUUGAAAAACUUAUUAGAGAAUAAUAUUAUAUUUUUCAUAAAUUUUAAAUAAUAUAAAUUUAUAUUUGAGAGUAAAAUUAGUAUUAUAGUAUCUUAUAAUUUUUUUAGUUUAUACGAACCAAACAAUGAAAUGUGAAUAACUCAUUCCAAUUUCCAAUCCACAAAUAAACCAAAUGUCUUGGGGGAGUGGGCAAUUCCAAUUACCAUUCCAAUUCAUUUUCAUUCCAUUAUUCAUUCCAAUUCCACCCUUGAACCAAACAAGCCCUUAAUUCCUAGAAAUAAAUUGUAAUAUAUGUCAAACUUCAAAUGCUAAAAAGUGGGAACCAAGUUGAACCAAAAACUAUCU
RNAcentral lists this long non-coding RNA (1346 nucleotides) under Ananas comosus (pineapple). RNAcentral's name for it is "long non-coding RNA (ACOM_LNC040912)". Lineage: Eukaryota; Viridiplantae; Streptophyta; Magnoliopsida; Poales; Bromeliaceae. The record is from RNAcentral.